Molecule: non-coding RNA, 418 nt
Organism: Anolis sagrei ordinatus
Lineage: Eukaryota; Metazoa; Chordata; Lepidosauria; Squamata; Anolidae
Source: RefSeq, a predicted model, not a curated record
GGUCGGCAGGGCCAGGUUUAGGCUGAGGAGGCUGGCUGGGGUUCAAUGCAGGCGGGUCGGUGGCCUCCGAGGCGGUGCGUGUUUUGGGCGGGUGAGGCGGCGCUUCCCCCUCCGCGGCUCCGAAGGGAAUGCCGAGGGCUGUGGGGAACUCUGCGUGGAGAAAGAGGGCCGGGCGAGUGGGACCCGAAUGUCUCGGGAGCGUGGCCGAAAGGAAUGACUUCUUCCGUGAGUUCUGGGGGGGGGGGGGUUAUAUAAACCCAGAGGCAAAAAUAUUUGCACCUUUAAAUUGAGUGUGAUAAGAGCAACAAUCUUCACACAGGCACACGCGCACACAUUUACCAAAGUUCAGACACUAGUGAAAGACUGGCUCAGAAAAAAAUUCAAUCUAACCCUCUAACCUUUAUAAUCUAAAUAAAAA